GUGAUGUUUCAUCACAACAAACACUCACAGACACAAUGAGCACAUGCUGCAAGAACUUAGAGGUCCGUCUGGUCUAUCCAAAGGUGAAUAUCUUCUGUCAAGAAGUGUUAUUGAGAGAAAGUUGCUCUUGCAUGACGAAAACACAUCUUUGUGAGAUUAAAUGCAUGUCGAUACGAAGAGGAUGGAUGACCCAAGCUGUCUGUAGAGGUGCACUGUUGGAGUUACAUGAAGGGCGUCUGCGUCCCGCAGGACUCCAGGGCCGGAGCUGCUGCAGCCCCAGUAGGAGGCAAGGUUACCCAGGCCCACAAGUGACGCAUCCUCGCCAGAGGUUCAGGCACGCCUUGAAGCGUCAAGGUCACAUGACUGCUGCCGUGAAGGAAGUCAUAAACAAAAUGCUGUGGUCCACAGCACGACGGUGUGUCGGGCGAACGCCCAGGAGAGUAGGCUGUCUGCUGCCCACUGGCUCCUCUUCUUCUCCCACUUAUUCUCCCACUGCCUUGACACGUGUCAACUUGUCAAGAAGUUGUCCUUGGGCCGAGUCUCCUGCAGGAUGGAGGAUAUGUGGAUGAAUACGAUGUAGACCUCAGGAAA
Long non-coding RNA from Gadus chalcogrammus (walleye pollock), 591 nucleotides. RefSeq lists it as uncharacterized. The record is from RefSeq and is a predicted model, not a curated record. NCBI's taxonomy places the organism in Eukaryota, Metazoa, Chordata, Actinopteri, Gadiformes, Gadidae. The transcript is spliced from 4 exons.